Molecule: transfer RNA, 64 nt
Filed under: Ischalia sp. BMNH 840493
Lineage: Eukaryota; Metazoa; Arthropoda; Insecta; Coleoptera; Anthicidae
Description: tRNA-His
Source: RNAcentral
AUUUANNUAGUUUAAUAAAAAUUUUGAUUUGUGAUUUCAAAGAUAUAAGUAAUUAUUUUAAAUA